UAAAUUCAUGUUUUCUUUACCAUCUUUCACAUAGCAGUCUCUGAGUUGCCUUGCUCUAGCCUAAGCUGGAAGAUAUAUUUUGAAACAGGUGUGAAAACUACUCCUGGCCUUUGAUCCUGUUCUGGGAGGCUCACGUGUGACCCACAUAUAAUUGUGGCCUUCGCAGCCAGCACCGGUGGGAUCUGUGUUGGGACACCUGCAAGCUGGAACAUUUCUCACCUGUUGAAAGACUGUGCCUAAUCCUGGAAUUACUGGCAUCUGUAUAUCAUUUCAAUGGUAAAUUACAGCUGGGAUAUGCUAACCCCGAAGCGUGAGUAUCUGCUGUCCAGUUCUGUAAUAAUGCGUUCUGUGAUUGCUUAACAAGAGACUGAGCACAAGAAAUACAAGAGUACGCAGCCCAAGAGUAGAAAUUUGCAUGGAACGAGUAACUAUACCUCUGACCGCAUAUGUAGGAUACAGCAAUGUCUUGUUUUUCUUGUGUGUUAUUACAGUCUAGCAUCAUAAGGAAACUCAGAAAUAUUUCAUGAUGUGCUAUGAUGUAAGAACUAUUUUUAUAUCCUGAAUGGAUUUUAAUGUCUUUGGAAGAAAAGUGCUGUCUCUCUCUCUCAUGUACACAAACGUUCUGCAUGUUAUCAGAAUAAGAUGGGAAAACAUAUUCAGAUCCUUCUGAAUAUUUAAUGAAGAUGUGCUACUGACAACUCAAAAAAGCAAAAGAGGCUACAUAGGACUAUUAUACCAUUCUUCACCAUCCUGCUCAGUAUUUCAACGUACAAGUGGACUUGUUCUCUAGGCUCUUUUAGAUAGGCUUUCAUGUUUUGAAGUGUGCUUAGCGUGAUUUUGUUAAUGCUGGCAUUAAACACAUGGCUGGUGUUUUUGUGUUGUUUUUUUUAAUCUUGAAAAGCAACUUUCAAUUGUAAAUUUCAAAGUAAAUUCCAGUUUGGUGGUUUACUGAGGAUAAAUUCUUCCACCAGUCAAGACACAGAGCUUGUUAGGGGUUUGUUUUUGGUUUUUUUUUUUUUUUGAUGAGGGGUUUUUUUGUUUUGUUUACUUCAGUAUUUUCUGAAAGUAGUGCUGUUUUGGUGCCUGGAACUCUAAACUUUCACAGAGUUUUCUUUUUCGCUUUUGCAUUUCAAAGAAAAUAAAGACCUGGGAUACCAUCAUAGCUGUAACUGGACUCCAGGAAUAUCUGUAUUUCAGUCCUUAAAUGAUGAUACCUAAGAAGUAUUGGUUGGGAACCUAUAUGGAUGUGUCCUCAUCAGUAUACUCCAUCAUAUGACUACUAAGAUUUUCUUGUUUGUUUGUUUGUUUGAUUUUGUUUACCCUCUUUUUUUCACUCCCUGGGAUUUCAGCUUAAGUUGAUGAAGUGCUGUAAAUCCCACUUUAUGUUUUAAGGCACUAGGCCAGACACUUUUAAUAAGAUGAACCAAGCCUGUAACAGGAAAUAAAAAAAAAAAAAGGACCCCUGAGAAGUUCUGCACUUUCUCUCCUGAUGCUGGCAUCAUCCAUGGAGGUACUGUUAGAGCAUGAUAAAGCACUCUCUGAGGUAGAACUCAUUCUGUCUUUUUUAAUUGAACUUUUGACUCUUUUUUUUUUCUUUACAACAAUAAUCAUCUGUUCUAUUACCUCUAUCUUUCCAAAGUGUGUGUUCUGAAGAAGAGAGUGAUGGUAUUAGCAUAUAUUCUGUGGAAAAAGAAAGCCUAUGUAACUGGACUGAACAUCCAUCCUUGAAAGAAGUUAAUUUCUCUGGAUGUUUAAAAUUAGAGAUAGGUGCUCAUAAAGGAAGGCAGCAGUAUCCUUCUCAUGAAAGGUAAUGAGACUUAGAUGGCAGAAGACAUCUUAGACAUUAGUACAUCUUUGUGGCUCAAUCCCCUUUCAGAAAAGGUAGUAGUGAGAUGGAUUGUCCCUGCCUCUAGAGCCCCUCUUGAGGCAAGUAUGACUCUUAGCCUUGAUUUUGGAAACUGCAUUGGAGGAGCAGCCUGCCAUAAAUCCUGUGUGCUCUGCUCCAUUACAGUUUUAUUGUCUAUCAGCCAAAAUAACAUGGGCAGCAUCACCUUCAACUAGGGAGGGAGAAGGAAGUGGCAAUUUGAAAUGCAAAUUAUAGCCUAGCUUUUUGCUAGUUAGUCUGGAGAUUAGUCUGGAGGAAAGGAGGCUGAGGGCAAAUCUUAUUGCUCUCUACAACUACCUGAAAGGAAGUUAUAGCCAGGUGGGUAUUGGUCUCUUCUCCCAAGUAACAAGCAAUAGGACAAGAGGAAAUGGCCUCAAGUUGCACCAGGGGAGGUUUAGAUUGGAUAUUAGGAAAAAUUUCUUCACCAAAGGAGUUAUCAAUCAUUGGAACAGGCUGCCUAGGGAAGCGGUUGAGCCACCAUCCCUGGAGGUAUUUAAAAGAUGAGUAGAUGUGGUGCUUAGGGACGUGGUUUAGUGGUGGACUUGGCAGUCCUAGGUUAGCGGUUAAAUUCGAUGAUCUUCAAGGUCUUUUCCAACCAAAAUGGUUCUAUGAUUCUAGUUUUUGUUAACUGAGCCAAGCUCAGCAUUGGAGAUUUUCUCCACAGUAAAGGGAGGGGAGAGAUGUUCCCCUAAAGGGCCAUUCAGAGCAGGAGUCUGACCUAGUCACAUCAGUGCCACCAUCUCCUCCUCCCUAAGCUUGUUGGAGGAUUCACAGGAGAUUAAUCUUACUAGGAUAAAGUUAUCCUUUGUGAAUAUCUCAUGAUGUGUCAUCGAUGAGAUGUAAUCUUGCUCUUCAUGACACAGGACAUUUCAAAGCUGCAUAAGGCUCUGCACACCACCCUUGGUUCACAACCUGCUAUCUGACCACGUUUGUGUGACAGCAGACAUGAACAUUAAAGUUUUGCAUCUGUGUUUUAUGAAUGUUCCAAAUCUGGGUUUAACAAUAUUUGCUCGGGCACUGAGAAAGUCUGGGAAUUUGAUCUUAGCAUGCACUUGGAGCCAAAAAUAUAGAGCAGCAAAUGGGUAUACGAAAGACCUGGCCGAAAUUCAUUCCUGUUAUCCCAAAUGUCACUCUGAACAUUCUCAGAGACUUUUAGACUCCCAAUAGACUCAGUCUUGCCAGUGUCUCCAAAUGUAAUGUGCUGGACGUGUCAGAAGCAAGUCUCAGUCUGCAUAUUAAUUUGCUAGCUUUACAAAUGUGAUUCUUUAAAAGAUUUUUGUCUUUGUAGUAUAGAUUUUUGUGAUUUAAACUUUGAAUUAACACCUACUGCAAUAUCAGUCUUAACAGCCUCUGUCCCAUUACACAUACCUGCAAGCAUGCUUAGGAAUGCAAAUGAAUUACUGGUACUGGAGGGAUAUUUAACUACCAUCAUUCAGUAAAACACAUUCACUAAGUGGGAAAUGGUGUCUAAUUUCUCAAUGCCCUAGCAAAGUCUCCUCAGUUGUUCCAUAAGAUAAUACAACAACGAUAUCCAGAGUAUGGGUGUACGCUUAAUUUUUGUUUGCUCAAGUACCACAUUACACUUUAAGCUGGCCUUCAAUCCACAGUAAUCUUUUAAAAAAGUUUUCCUUUGCCUUUAUUUUGAGCUUUAUGUGCAAUGAUAUAUGGCAGUAGAUGCCAAAUUCAGCUUGCUACACCAUACCUGCUCUGACUAGUUAAUAGCUUCCUGAUCCAUCACUGCUGUAUGUUUCUUGCUUUGCAGGUAACUAUCUUGUCACUUUUGAGACCAAAAUAUCUAUUUAUUUUUUCUUUAUCAAUUGUGUUUAGAUCAGUGUCAGCUGUGUAUGAAACCUGUUUGGAUUAAGAUUUCUUUAUGCAUUUGAAAUGGCCCAGAUUCAUUUAAGAGAUUGUCUUAAAACAUCUGUGAUAGACUUGGGCAAUUUUUAUUAUGCUUCUGAGCCAGCUGCUGACUGAAGUCAAAAACACCUCACAAUUCACAGUUUUGUUUGGCUUUAGGCUUAAAUCCAGUGCAUGGAUGGGAAGGGCUGAACUCUCUACUCCAAGAUUCACUCAUCUCUUUUGGACCUGUAAAAUACUGGAGUGCAGUUAUUUUUAGUAAUAUCACUGAAAAGGUUACUUUCCUCCUACAUGAGGCCCUGUUUUAAAUAGUAAGUUAUUCUGUAAUUAUUGUGGUAUUGUUGUAUUGCUAAAAUACUCUAUUCAAAUAUGAAUGACAUUGCAGUAAGUCCUCUAGGAGGAAUACAGAAUCAUGCUACCAUCAUAAAAACAUCACAGUCCAAAGCAACU
Long non-coding RNA from Grus americana (Whooping crane), 4192 nucleotides. RefSeq lists it as uncharacterized. The transcript is spliced from 5 exons. NCBI's taxonomy places the organism in Eukaryota, Metazoa, Chordata, Aves, Gruiformes, Gruidae. The record is from RefSeq and is a predicted model, not a curated record.